GCAAGUCAACUUGACUGAAGGAGCAAUCUGACAGUAGAGUGGCGCAAGGGGUGCGUAACGCGUAAGUAACUUGCCCAAGUAAGGAAUAACGUCGAGAAAUCGGCGCUAAUACCUCAUAAUGCAGCGGAUCCGCAUGGAUAUGUUGUUAAAGGUUUACCGCCUUGGGAUAGGCUUGCGUCUGAUUAGUUAGUUGGUGUGGUAACGGCACACCAAGGCUACGAUCAGUAACUGGUCUGAGAGGAUGAUCAGUCACACUGGAACUGAGACACGGUCCAGACUCCUACGGGAGGCAGCAGUGAGGAAUAUUGGGCAAUGCUCGAAAGAGUGACCCAGCAACGCCGCGUGGAGGAUGAAGGUAUUCUAUAUCGUAAACUCCUGUGAGAGCAGACGAAAGACAGAUUAUUAAUCUGGAUGACUGUAUGCUCAGAGGAAGCCCCGGCUAACUACGUG
RNAcentral lists this ribosomal RNA (450 nucleotides) under uncultured bacterium. RNAcentral describes it as "bacterial SSU rRNA". It matches the Rfam family "Bacterial small subunit ribosomal RNA", at positions 57 to 507 of the family's 1533-position model. The record is from RNAcentral.